AACGAACGCUGGCGGCAGGCUUAACACAUGCAAGUCGAGCGCCCCGCAAGGGGAGCGGCAGACGGGUGAGUAACGCGUGGGAAUCUACCUUUUGCUACGGAACAACAGUUGGAAACGACUGCUAAUACCGUAUGUGCCCUUCGGGGGAAAGAUUUAUCGGCAAAGGAUGAGCCCGCGUUGGAUUAGCUAGUUGGUGAGGU
RNAcentral lists this ribosomal RNA (200 nucleotides) under uncultured bacterium. RNAcentral's name for it is "partial 16S ribosomal RNA". It matches the Rfam family "Bacterial small subunit ribosomal RNA", at positions 29 to 258 of the family's 1533-position model. The record is from RNAcentral.